UCAUUCCUCUGUCUUCUCUCCCCCCUCUCCUCCCCCCUCUCUCUCUCUCCUCCAGUGGGUGUGAUGCGGCCCACCCUGAGCGUCCUCCCCCCCUCCAAAGAGGAGCUGCGGCAGGGCCGUGCCACAGUGGUGUGUGCGGCCAGCGGGGGCUUCCCCUCAACCUGGAGGCUGGGCUGGAAGGUCGGGGGCAGCAGCAGCUCCUCAGGGGCGUCACACAGCCUGGAGGUCCAGGGGAGUGACGGCCACUACAGCUGGAGCAGCACCCUGAGCCUCUCUGCAGACCAGUGGAGGAAGGCGGGCUCAGUGAGCUGCGAGGCCAGUCUGAGUGGACAGAGCCCCGCCACUCAAAGCCUGGACCCUGCCCGCUGCUCAGAGUAGAGCUUCAGCAACACUUCCUGUCUGGAAAUGAUGCUGCUUCUUUGAUAGACGUCUGGAUGAAGCUACAGAUCUCCUCUGUUCACAUGUUUCUGCAGGUUUCAUAGCUCUCUGCUCAGUGUUUUAGUCUGCAUGUUGCUCU
Plectropomus leopardus (leopard coralgrouper) is the source of this 517-nucleotide non-coding RNA. The record is from the annotation of a RefSeq genome assembly. NCBI's taxonomy places the organism in Eukaryota, Metazoa, Chordata, Actinopteri, Perciformes, Serranidae.